Molecule: long non-coding RNA, 897 nt
Organism: Brassica napus (rape)
Lineage: Eukaryota; Viridiplantae; Streptophyta; Magnoliopsida; Brassicales; Brassicaceae
Exons: 2
Source: RefSeq, a predicted model, not a curated record
UCAACUAAGCGAAACUAGAUGAUGACUUUCGGUUUACUUUUUUUUUUCAGUUAGAAUAAUUUGAAUUUUGAAUUUGUUUAAAAUGGUGAAACCAAAACAAUAAUAAAUUUUUUAAUUUUCACGACAUUUUUUUUAACUACAAAUUCUUAUCUUCUUAUCACAAUUACCAAGACAAAGAAUGUAAACGCAGUUAUCGGCCGGAAACAAAAGUACGACGACGGAGACGUUGUUUGAUAAUAACAUCUCGUCUACUUGAUUCCUCUCUCGUCUACGCCAUAGCUCCUCCACGCCAAGCUCUAUGGUCUUCAAUUCUUGGUUCCACCUGUUGUAUACACCACAGCUCCUACUCGCCGUGCUAUCUGACCCUCCUCCGUGACCUGCUUCUCACCGCCGACUCACGUCUGCGCCAAUCUGCCAUGGCAAACUUCUCCACCAUGGGAUCUCCUAGUCGCUGCCUCAUCCGCCGUACAAGCAAUACCUCCACGUCGUUCCACCGCGCCCAGCUCCACCGCCGUUGCCAUCCAGAGUCGUCGUCACUCGGGUUCUCUGGAUCGAGAGCUCAGCGACAAUGGAUAAUUUUCUCAUAAUUUAACCAAUCAAAAGGUGCUUGUAAAGUUCAUGGAAAAUGCAGAUUGUUUUGAGUCCAGCUCAUGAUUGGUUAUCAGCUAAACGUUGUUGAUAGUAGUGGAAUCACUCUUAGCACUGUUCAAGAGGAGGUGAAGUUAAUGUGCCUCAAGUUCUAUGUAUAGCAAUAACUACUGCAAUUUCAAUACUUUUCUUUUUGAAUUAGUUGUGUACACUAUUUGCAAUUUUGAUACAUUUGAUAUUUCAGAAAGCAUCAUUAUUUUUGUAUGACACGUUUUCUUAGUCAAUAUCAAUUUACAUAUGAAUAAAUUA